UGCAGUCGAACGGCAGCACAGGAGAGCUUGCUCUCUGGGUGGCGAGUGGCGGACGGGUGAGGAAUACAUCGGAAUCUACUCUGUCGUGGGGGAUAACGUAGGGAAACUUACGCUAAUACCGCAUACGACCUACGGGUGAAAGCAGGGGAUCUUCGGACCUUGCGCGAUUGAAUGAGCCGAUGUCGGAUUAGCUAGUUGGCGGGGUAAAGGCCCACCAAGGCGACGAUCCGUAGCUGGUCUGAGAGGAUGAUCAGCCACACUGGAACUGAGACACGGUCCAGACUCCUACGGGAGGCAGCAGUGGGGAAUAUUGGACAAUGGGCGCAAGCCUGAUCCAGCCAUACCGCGUGGGUGAAGAAGGCCUUCGGGUUGUAAAGCCCUUUUGUUGGGAAAGAAAUCCAGCCGGCUAAUACCUGGUUGGGAUGACGGUACCCAAAGAAU
Molecule: ribosomal RNA, 441 nt
Filed under: Stenotrophomonas maltophilia
Lineage: Bacteria; Pseudomonadati; Pseudomonadota; Gammaproteobacteria; Lysobacterales; Lysobacteraceae
Description: bacterial SSU rRNA
Rfam family: Bacterial small subunit ribosomal RNA
Source: RNAcentral